This 497-nucleotide ribosomal RNA is filed under the name uncultured bacterium. RNAcentral describes it as "partial 16S ribosomal RNA". It matches the Rfam family "Bacterial small subunit ribosomal RNA", at positions 28 to 507 of the family's 1533-position model. The record is from RNAcentral.
GAUGAACGCUGGCGGCGUGCCUAAUACAUGCAAGUCGAGCGAACGGACGAGAAGCUUGCUUCUCUGAUGUUAGCGGCGGACGGGUGAGUAACACGUGGAUAACCUACCUAUAAGACUGGGAUCACUUCGGGAGACCGGAGCUAAUACCGGAUAAUAUUUUGAACCGCAUGGUUCAAAAGUGAAAGACGGUCUUGCUGUCACUUAUAGAUGGAUCCGCGCUGCAUUAGCUAGUUGGUAAGGUAACGGCUUACCAAGGCAACGAUGCAUAGCCGACCUGAGAGGUGGUUCGGCAAAACUGGAACUGAGAAACGGUCCAGAUUCCUAAGGGAGGAAGAAGAAGGGAAUCUUCGGAAAGGGGGGAAAGCCUGACGGAGAAACGCCGGGGGAGGAAGGAAGGUCUUCAGAUCGAAAAACUCUGUGAUUAGGGAAGAACAGAGGUGGAAGUAACUGUGCACAUCGUGACGGUACCUAAUCAGAAAGCGACGGCUAACUACGUG